UACGUAGGGUGCAAGCGUUAUUCGGAAUUACUGGGCGUAAAGCGUGCGCAGGCGGUUUUGUAAGUCUGACGUGAAAUCCCCGGGCUCAACCUGGGAAUUGCGUUGGAGACUGCAAGGCUAGAAUCUGGCAGAGGGGGGUAGAAUUCCACGUGUAGCAGUGAAAUGCGUAGAGAUGUGGAGGAACACCGAUAGCGAAGGCAGCCCCCUGGGUCAAGAUUGACGCUCAUGCACGAAAGCGUGGGGAGCAAACAGG
RNAcentral lists this ribosomal RNA (253 nucleotides) under uncultured bacterium. Its description in RNAcentral is "partial 16S ribosomal RNA". It matches the Rfam family "Bacterial small subunit ribosomal RNA", at positions 524 to 776 of the family's 1533-position model. The record is from RNAcentral.